Molecule: ribosomal RNA, 449 nt
Filed under: uncultured bacterium
Lineage: Bacteria
Description: partial 16S ribosomal RNA
Rfam family: Bacterial small subunit ribosomal RNA
Source: RNAcentral
AACGAACGCUGGCGGCAUGCCUAACACAUGCAAGUCGAACGAGAACUUCGGGUCUAGUGGCGCACGGGUGCGUAACGCGUGGGAAUCUGCCCUUUGGUUCGGAAUAACAGUUGGAAACGACUGCUAAUACCGGAUGAUGACGAAAGUCCAAAGAUUUAUCGCCAGAGGAUGAGCCUGCGUAGGAUUAGCUAGUUGGUGUGGUAAAGGCGCACCAAGGCGACGAUCCUUAGCUGGUCUGAGAGGAUGAUCAGCCACACUGGGACUGAGACACGGCCCAGACUCCUACGGGAGGCAGCAGUGGGGAAUAUUGGACAAUGGGCGGAAGCCUGAUCCAGCAAUGCCGCGUGAGUGAUGAAGGCCUUAGGGUUGUAAAGCUCUUUUACCCGGGAUGAUAAUGACAGUACCGGGAGAAUAAGCUCCGGCUAACUCCGUGCCAGCCGCCGCAGUAA